RNAcentral lists this ribosomal RNA (373 nucleotides) under uncultured Bacteroidota bacterium. Its description in RNAcentral is "bacterial SSU rRNA". It matches the Rfam family "Bacterial small subunit ribosomal RNA", at positions 521 to 896 of the family's 1533-position model. The record is from RNAcentral. Lineage: Bacteria; Pseudomonadati; Bacteroidota.
UAAUACGGAGGAUCCAAGCGUUAUCCGGAAUCAUUGGGUUUAAAGGGUCCGUAGGCGGGUUUGUAAGUCAGAGGUGAAAUCUUGCAGCUCAACUGUAAAAUUGCCUUUGAUACUGGUAGACUUGAGUCAUUGUGAAGUGGUUAGAAUGUGUGGUGUAGCGGUGAAAUGCAUAGAUAUCACACAGAAUACCAAUUGCGAAGGCAGAUCACUAACAAUGUACUGACGCUCAUGGACGAAAGCGUGGGGAGCGAACAGGAUUAGAUACCCUGGUAGUCCACGCCGUAAACGAUGGAUACUAACUGUUCGACCUUCGGGUUGAGUGGUUAAGCGAAAGUGAUAAGUAUCCCACCUGGGGAGUACGCUCGCAAGAGUG